GCUGUGAUGGCCGAGUCGUUAAGGCGACAGAUUUGAAUUCGUUCAAAUUUAUCUGUUGGGCUUUGCCCGCGUAGGUUCAAAUCCUGCUCACAGCG
Molecule: transfer RNA, 95 nt
Organism: Jaapia argillacea
Lineage: Eukaryota; Fungi; Basidiomycota; Agaricomycetes; Jaapiales; Jaapiaceae
Rfam family: tRNA
About the family: Transfer RNA (tRNA) molecules are approximately 80 nucleotides in length. Their secondary structure includes four short double-helical elements and three loops (D, anti-codon, and T loops). Further hydrogen bonds mediate the characteristic L-shaped molecular structure. tRNAs have two regions of fundamental functional importance: the anti-codon, which is responsible for specific mRNA codon recognition, and the 3' end, to which the tRNAs corresponding amino acid is attached (by aminoacyl-tRNA synthetases). tRNAs cope with the degeneracy of the genetic code in two manners: having more than one tRNA (with a specific anti-codon) for a particular amino acid; and 'wobble' base-pairing, i.e. permitting non-standard base-pairing at the 3rd anti-codon position.
Source: Rfam